Molecule: long non-coding RNA, 1330 nt
Organism: Ostrea edulis (European flat oyster)
Lineage: Eukaryota; Metazoa; Mollusca; Bivalvia; Ostreida; Ostreidae
Exons: 2
Source: RefSeq, a predicted model, not a curated record
GGAGGUUCAUUGCCAUCAGAGGACAUGUAAAGGAAUUUCGAUCCGAUCGAGGGACAAAUUUUAUCGGAUCAACAGAACACCUAGGGGUAGAUGUCAUCAACAUUGAAGAUGGACCUAUCAAGAGAUUUUUCCUCGAUCAAAGAUCAGUAUGGAUCUUCAAUCCACCACAUGCUUCGCACAUGGGCGGAGCAUGGGAACGCAUGAUAGGCCUGACACGACGCAUUCUGGAUACCAUGUUGAUGGACAAAGCAGUCAAGGCAUUAACCCAUGAAAUACUCACCACCUUUCUUGCAGAGGCUAGCGCAAUCAUCAACUCGCGACCACUGGUACCUACCACAUCAGAUCCUGAAUACCCUCUGAUCCUUACACCCUAUACACUUCUUACCCUGAAAACAGACAAGGGAGGAGAACCUCUUGGACCUUUCAGUGAAAAAGAUGCAUACGCGGCCCAGUGGAAAAGAGCUCAACAUUUAGCUGAUAUAUUUUGGCAACGUUGAAGAAAAGAAUAUCUCGCAACCCUACAAAAUCGGAAACGAUGGCCAACAAACCAGAGAAACAUAACUGUUGGUGAUGUUGUUCUUCUGAAAGAUGACGGUGCUCAUCGUUGCGACUGGAAAAUGGCUGUAGUUGAACGUACAUUUCCUAGCCAUUCAGACAAGAAAGUACGUACCGUGGAGUUACGUGUGAUUCGAGAUGGACAAGUUGUGUAUUAUACUCGUCCUGUUACAGAACUGGUUCUUUUGUUACCCGUGUGAACAUCAUGACAUUUUGAUUUGCAUAUGUAUUUCCUUUGAAUUAUUGAAAUUCUUUACAAGAGACAUAUAGUGAUAUCUCCCGAUAUCAGACGGGGAGUGUGAAGAGUUAUCGUUAUUUGUUAAAAUAUUUCCUUUUUUUUUUAUAUUGAAUUAUCUUUCUUUACGACUUAGACUUCAAACCCGUUUAGAGUUACCAUUCUUAAUUCGAGCACGUACUUCCAGCUUCUGCGAUGUGUUUCAGAUGAGCUAUUCCUCCAACCUGUGAGUGUGUUUCACGCAUCGGUCGAUUGUUCCAAUCAUUCAUUUUCUACUUAGAGAUAGCACACACUUCUUUUACCACACAUGAAGUACAUAAUAAAGACUACGCACCGUCCUAUUGUGUCUUUGGUUAUACUAUCUGCAAAAGUAAUGGCAGAAUAAUGAGUGUUCUCAAAGUCCAUUUUUCAUUGUGAAACAAUAGGGGUCAUCCUUCAGUCAGUGUGUGAAGAGCGUGUUGACUCAGUCCAGUCAGCUAGAGGUUCAGCAGUGCUAUCAUUUACAUGUAUACUUUUGUUUUCAUUUCACUUCUUAUUCGU